AUUGAACGCUGGCGGCAGGCUUAACACAUGCAAGUCGAGCGGGGGAAGGUAGCUUGCUACCGGACCUAGCGGCGGACGGGUGAGUAAUGCUUAGGAAUCUGCCUAUUAGUGGGGGACAACAUCUCGAAAGGGAUGCUAAUACCGCAUACGUCCUACGGGAGAAAGCAGGGGAUCUUCGGACCUUGCGCUAAUAGAUGAGCCUAAGUCGGAUUAGCUAGUUGGUGGGGUUAAGGCCUACCAAGGCGACGAUCUGUAGCGGGUCUGAGAGGAUGAUCCGCCACACUGGGACUGAGACACGGCCCAGACUCCUACGGGAGGCAGCAGUGGGGAAUAUUGGACAAUGGGGGGAACCCUGAUCCAGCCAUGCCGCGUGUGUGAAGAAGGCCUUAUGGUUGUAAAGCACUUUAAGCGAGGAGGAGGCUACUCUAGUUAAUACCUAGGGAUAGUGGACGUUACUCGCAGAAUAAGCACCGGCUAACUCUGUGCCAGCCGCCGCAGUAA
RNAcentral lists this ribosomal RNA (501 nucleotides) under uncultured bacterium. Its description in RNAcentral is "partial 16S ribosomal RNA". It matches the Rfam family "Bacterial small subunit ribosomal RNA", at positions 30 to 523 of the family's 1533-position model. The record is from RNAcentral.